RNAcentral lists this ribosomal RNA (633 nucleotides) under uncultured Gemmatimonadota bacterium. RNAcentral's name for it is "bacterial SSU rRNA". It matches the Rfam family "Bacterial small subunit ribosomal RNA", at positions 28 to 666 of the family's 1533-position model. The record is from RNAcentral. Lineage: Bacteria; Pseudomonadati; Gemmatimonadota.
GACGAACGCUGGCGGCGUGCUUAACACAUGCAAGUCAGGGGGGGUGGGGCAACCCACUCAACCGGCGAACGGGUGCGUAACACGUGAGCAACCUGCCCGCUUCUGGGGGAUAGCCGGCCCAACGGCCGGGUAAUACCGCAUACGUCGGUGGGGUGGCAUCACCCUACCGGGAAAGCAGGAAUGCGGAGGCGGAGGGGCUCGCGGCCUAUCAGCUCGUUGGUGGGGUCACGGCCUACCAAGGCGACGACGGGUAGCUGGUCUGAGAGGAUGGCCAGCCACAUUGGGACUGAGAGACGGCCCAGACUCCUACGGGAGGCAGCAGUGGGGAAUCUUGCGCAAUGGCCGAAAGGUUGACGCAGCGACGCCGCGUGUGGAAGGACGCCCUUCGGGGUGUAAACCACUGUUGCCCGGGACGAACCCCUGGCUUUGGCCAGGUUGACGGUACCGGGUGAGGAAGCACCGGCUAACUCCGUGCCAGCAGCCGCGGUAAUACGGAGGGUGCGAGCGUUGUCCGGAAUCACUGGGCGUAAAGGGCGCGUAGGCGGCCCGGUAAGCGUGCGGUGAAAGCCCGGGGCUCAACCCCGGGUCGCCCGUGCGACCUGUCGGGCUCGAGCACUGUAGAGGCAGGUGGAA